Molecule: long non-coding RNA, 1978 nt
Filed under: Sus scrofa (pig)
Lineage: Eukaryota; Metazoa; Chordata; Mammalia; Artiodactyla; Suidae
Description: lncRNA (ENSSSCG00005020396.1)
Source: RNAcentral
AGCCGCGGCAACUCAGGGGCUGCCUGCGGGACCGUCAGAAUCUGCCGCCUUCACAGACGCGUCUUCAGCCACAGGGGGCAGUUCUCCACGCUUUUGCUGGAAAACCCCCCCAAGUACAAACUCAGCGCAAACCUCGUGAGCUCCAGAAGCUGACUCAUCUCUCAAACUUUCCUACUUACACUAAUUUUUCCUUCGUUUUCUUUUGAGCAAUACGUAUCUUUCUCUUUUUCUGAGUUUUUAUGAUUUUGUCCUGGGUUUGUUUGUGCUUAUUGUCUAAUUAGGAUUUCGCUACACCGUAGUGUUAGGGUCGUGCUAUUCUCAAACAUCUCUUUUUCAGACGAACUUUUUUUUUUGCCACUUCUGAAUCUGGGAGUUAGUAUUCUUUAAAUAUGAGGUAAUUUUUCUGAAUUUCAUUUGAUGACUACAAUACCAUAUGGAUUAUAUUUCCAAUAAUCAGAGCUAGUUAUUUAUUUUGAGUAACAGCAUUCAUUGAGUUUUGAUGAUAAACAUUUUGAUUAUUAGUAUAAAUACUAUUUUGUACAGUGGGAAUGGGACAUACCGUGUUCAAUUGCUGAUGGGCCUGUCAUCCCAGGAGACUUUAAGCAAUUACAGUGACCUCCGACAACUGCGUGUGCAUUGGCAUGCAAACGUCUCCAAGAGCCAUUGAGCCAAAACACUGCCAGAGGCUCCGUGUGACACCAGCCAAGCCCUGUUACUUGGGGGUCGUGAGUGUGACAUGCACCCACGGGAGAGGCAAGCACCCACCUGAGGACCAAGGGUGGGGCUGGGGGGCUGCCGCAGGCCCUGGCGUUUUCCUCGAUGCUUCCUCAUCCUGGGUGGUGAGUACCAGGCGGGGGCUGCGAGGGAAGCCUGGGUCAAGAACUCGAAAGGAUCAUUGAGUGUCACUGUAAGUCGCUGCUUUUCAGAGCCAGCAGUUCUAGACAUGGUGAAGUGAUGAUAAACUCUCCGCAGUAGGGAUGUCUGCUCAAGACAUGUCUUAAAUAACUGCUUUGGCUUAAUAAUUCUCCAGGGCAGCCUCAGAGCCCCCUUUGCAUGCCUUCUGCUGCGAGAGCUGUUGAAUUCAGAGAGAUGUCCCUUCGGAGAACCGCGGGUGUGAAGUCGCCCUGCCACCUGCGGAGUCAGCAACACAUUCCCUUCUGGGGGGCAUGUGCCAGAGGUCCUGGGUGGUUGAGGCUCCAGCCCCGAGUGAGAGGCGACUGCAUUUAAACAGAUCUGAAAGCAGCUGUGAUGGUGGCAGGACCUCGAGGAUAAAGAAGAAACAGGAGUUUGAUUGUGUGAGUCUGGGGGGCUGGGGGAGGGGCAAGAGGCUCCCAGAGACCAAACCCCCGGGGCAAGUGCCUCAAGCAGAUGCUCCAGAAAGGUAGGCCUAGGGUUUUUCCUUCCUUUUCUUUUGAGCAAUACAUACUCCUUCCCAGCAACGGGGCAGAUAAUGCCCUUCAGCGGCUUUCUCUGCCUGGUGGUGGCUUCAUAGGAUGCAUUAGAAAAUGACAGAUCUUCUGAUGCAGGUGAAUUAGUGGAAGUGUGUUAACUCCGGAGACACCUGGAAACAUCCAGAGUUGAUCUCAAAGAAACAGUGACGUGGGCAGUGUUGAAAUUUCUGGAAUUGAUUGAGAAAUGGAAUGUUUAUGAAGCUGUCCUGAUGCGUAAGGCGUUUCCUACCUACACGUGUGUCCGUCGCUUCAUGCACACAGAGAAUCCAGUGAAAACGACUGAAGUGCACUCUUGACCCCUGUAGGAAGACUGGUGGCUUUGGGGGCGAGUCAGGAAACACGACCCUGCAGAGGCCAUUGAUGCCUCGGCCGCUAUUCAGUCGUCGUGAAAAUGAAUCCUCGAAAAUAGAAGCUGCAGUCUAGCUACUUGUUACGGUCACAGACCUUUUGAAGCUUUCCUCAAAACUGUGCCGACAUAAUUACCUAUUUAAUACACUAUUUGUUAUUAAUUAAAAAGAAUUUAGUGG